AGAACAGGGGCUGGCUAUUCAUCGUCUCAGAGCAUAGAGACCCUCUCCUUGCCACCCGGCCCUUCCUACCUGGUUGGUGACAAAUCACAAGGUGGUAGAAGUUGCCAGGGACAGAUAACAUGGCAGCCAGCGGGAAGACCAGCAAUUUCGAACCGAACCAUGUUAUCUUCAAGAAGAUCUCCCGGGACAAAUCGGUGAGUGGUGCACAAGUGACCAUCUACCUGGGGAAGAGAGACUACAUAGACCAUGUCAGCCAAGUCCAGCCUGUGGAUGGUGUCGUGUUGGUUGAUCCUGAUCUUGUGAAGGGAAAGAAAGUUUCCUGACUACUUGCCCUGUUCAGUGAUGUUGCAGCCAGCUCCACAAGAUUCAGGGAAGUCCUGUGGGGUUGACUUUGAGGUCAAAGCAUUCGCCACAGACAGCACCGAUGCCGAAGAGGACAAAAUCCCCAAGAAGUAAGAGUAUGGUUGCGGAAUAAGUGAGGGGUCUGCGGUGGGGGUGGAGAGAAGAGACGGCCCCCAUCUUGUCUCUGUGGGACAGACCUCUUCCCGUAGGGCUGGCACGGCUGGGGUACCAUCUGCAUGUGGGAUGGAGGUCAAAGGUUGAUCAUUUUUGGGGAAAAAAAGGAAAACAAGAAAAUGACAGGGAAGUUAGCAACCUCCAGGGCUCAUGUAAGCCCCGAAAAGCUCCCGGGUUUCCCCUUUGUUUAGAUUUUGUUGUUGUUGUUGUUUGUUUGUUUUUUGUGGUAAAAUAUACACAAUAUGAAGUUUGCCAUUUUAACCACUUUUUUUUUCUUUUUUUCUUUUAUUUUUUGAAGUGGAGCCUUGCUGUGUCCCCCAGGCUGGAGUGCAAUGUGACCUCGGUUCACUGCAACCUCUGCCUCCCAGAUUCAAGCGAUUCUCCUGCCUCAGCCUCCCGAGUAGCUGGGAUUACAGGCGUGUGCCACCACGCCUGGCUAAUUUUUUUUUUUUUUUGUAUAUUUAGUAGAGAUGGGUUUCACCAUGUUGGCCGGGCUGGUCUCGAACUCCUGACCUCGUCACCCACCCACAUUGGCCUCCCAAAAUGCUGGGAUUACAGGCGUGAGCCACUGUGCCCGGCCCAUUUUAACCACUUUUAAAUGUACCAUUCAGUGGCUUAAGUACAUUCUGAAUGUUGUGUAGCCUUCACCACUGUCUAUACCCAAAACUUUCCCAUUGCCCGAGCAGGAACUCUACAACCAUUAAGCCUUCCACUCCAUCCCCCCCAUUCUCCCACCCCCUGUGCUGUUUUCUUUUUUCACCUAAACAAGAUUUCCGCCUGGCCCGUCACACUGUCUCCUCAUACCCCAUGUACACAUCUCUGGAGGCGCAGGAUAGAGAGCUGCAGUAAUGGAGCUUGCAUGUAUAUGGCAGCUAUUCCAUGAGGCCCUUGACGCCCUCACACCUCAGCCUCGCUGAUAGGAGGCAGAGCUGGGAACCCACGGAGCCUAAGAGGCUAAGCUUGGCCCUCGGGAUGUUGCCAGGCCCCACAGCUUCCCCCACAGGGAAGGGACCAGAAACCAGACCCCCAGGCUCUUCCACCAUCAGGGCUGCCUCAGGCUCUGACCAGUGUCCUUGCCCUCUUCCCGUCCACCCUGUCUCCGUGGGGAGCGUUCCUGGAGAAUCUCCGUGUGACGGUGGGGAGAGAACAGAGGCCUCCCUGAAGCGGCCUGGGUGCCAAUCCCUGGCUUGUCUGUGGCUGCUCCCCGCAGGAGCUCCGUGCGAUUACUGAUCCGCAAAGUACAGCAUGCCCCACUUGAGAUGGGUCCCCAGCCCCGAGCUGAGGCGGCCUGGCAGUUCUUCAUGUCUGACAAGCCCCUGCACCUUGCGGUCUCGCUCAACAAAGAGAUCUAUUUCCAUGGGGAGCCCAUCCCUGUGACCGUGACUGUCACCAAUAACACAGAGAAGACCGUGAAGAAGAUUAAAGCAUUCGUGGAACAGGUGGCCAACGUGGUUCUCUACUCGAGUGAUUAUUACGUCAAGCCCGUGGCUAUGGAGGAAGCGCAAGAAAAAGUGCCGCCAAACAGCACUUUGACCAAGACACUGACGCUACUGCCCUUGCUGGCUAACAAUCGAGAAAGGAGAGGCAUUGCCCUGGAUGGGAAAAUCAAGCAUGAGGACACAAACCUUGCCUCCAGCACCAUCAUUAAGGAGGGCAUAGACCGGACCGUCCUGGGGAUCCUGGUGUCUUACCAGAUCAAGGUGAAGCUUACGGUGUCAGGCUUUCUGGGAGAGCUCACCUCCAGUGAAGUCGCCACUGAGGUCCCAUUCCGCCUCAUGCACCCUCAGCCUGAGGACCCAGCUAAGGAAAGUUAUCAGGAUGCAAAUUUAGUUUUUGAGGAGUUUGCUCGCCAUAAUCUGAAAGAUGCAGGAGAAGCUGAGGAGGGGAAGAGAGACAAGAAUGACAUUGAUGAGUGAAGAUGUCAGCUCAGGAUGCCGGAAAAUGACCUGUAGUUACCAGUGCAACGAGCAAAGCCUCACAGUUUAGUCCUUUGGAGUUAUGCUACAUAUGAAAGGAUGAGUCUUAUUCCGAGAAAUAAAGCUUGUUUGUUCUCCCCUGG
RNAcentral lists this small RNA (2575 nucleotides) under Pongo abelii (Sumatran orangutan). RNAcentral describes it as "retained intron". Lineage: Eukaryota; Metazoa; Chordata; Mammalia; Primates; Hominidae. The record is from RNAcentral.